CUCUCUCUAUGAUGCGCGGACCCCACUCAUCUUCUCCUACCUCUAACCAGUCUCCUGCUCGCGUACGCAACCCGCGCGCCUGAUCUCCCUGAUCCCUCCCUGAUCUGGUCCAUCUCGAACCGCCACGAGACCUCCUCGACCACCUCUUCCGAUUUCUGCACCAAGCACUCGGUUUCCCGUUCAAGAUCGAGCACACGGACCUCACAAAAACUCCGCCGACCGAGCUUCCUUCCAUGGCCAAACCCCGGCAACUGUAAGCCACCCCUGCCUCUGUGGUCGUCCGAGGGAUCUCCUUGAUGCGCCGCCUCUCCCUGACCAUCUCCCCCUUAGCAGAUGCUCGAAUUCAAGCACCCAAGGUCGCCCGAUCUCACCGGAGCGCCAUCCAUCGUCGUUUCACUUCUCUGCAGGACCAGGAUGCCCCAGAGCAGUCCGGCGACGUGUGAGAUCACACCCUGCCACGCCUAAUCUCCCCGACUUCCCUAAGUCACAGAACCACCGGAGACGCCUUUCACCACCGCCAUCUUCCCCUGCUUCCGGUGAGCACGCACGUGCAACCCCCCCCCUUCGGCCAAUCCUAGAGCGACACGUGGCCACAUCUACAGUAGCCGCGGCAGCUCAAACUCUGUUUUUGACAGAUUUUUCAAUCCAAUUUCGUUUAGCUAUAUCUGGUGAUCCGUAUAUCCAAAUCGAGUGAUUCUUUUUCCUGCAUGAUCAAAAUGACCUCUACUAUCCUAUAGUGUAAAUAUUUCAAUUGUUCAAGCUUUUCAAAUUUGAGUGAGUCGAAUUUGAAUUCAAAUCUUCAUAUGGUGAUAUCUUGCAGACCGUAGCACAUUUUCAAUCGAUUCCUUUUUGCCCGUGAAACACUAGUACCAAUACUUGCUGAUCGCAUCCUAUAUACCCAAUAUUCGCAUAAUUCUUGACCUGUUUUGAAUUUAAAUUCAAUUCAAACUUCAUUCACUAUAAUUUGAGUUGUAGUGCUCCUAUUCAAUUCAUUCUUUUUGCAAAUGAACACCUAUGUCAUAUACCUUCUGUUCAACAACAUGUUUGUUGUUUUCCAUAUAAUUCUGAGCCUAUUCCAUAUGGUCUCAAAUAUAAUCCUAUAUAUAAAUCCUUCCAUAUCAGUUGACUCUUUUGAGUUCAUUCCUUCACCUGUCACCUUAUAUUACCGUUAGACCCUAUGUUAUACUUUAAACCUAUAUUAUAUAUAUUAAGCCUAUAUAUAUUGAUGUUUCCCAACCUUGCCAUAAUUGUUUUGUUGUUCUUUGGUUCUUAUUCAUGACAUGGUUAUUGAUUUGGAUUUUUUCCUUAAUGGUAGAUUGCCCGAAGCGUGAGGAGUAGAAAUAUCAGGAUUGUGAGUGCGAAGAACUUCAUCAAAUGUACCAGGCAAGUUACACCUUGAUCAUACCCCAACCUAUUAUUUUUCUAUGCAUGUAGUUAUAUGUUUAUAUCACAUCACUAUAUUAUGCAUGUGUAGGAAGAUCAUGGUAGUAUGUUAUUGCUACUAAGUUUCAACUUAGUAUGGCCUUAUUGUAGACCGUGGUAGUGUAUUCUUGCUAUGAUAUGUAGACGGAGAUUGGUUCGUGUAUUCAUCGAGUUUAUGUGAGGACUAUAUAUAAUAUAACUUGAGUAAAAACAUAAUAUAUAAUUCACUUCUGGACGGACAGGGUUGCAUCAUGGUUUAUCGUUCCUUUUCUAAGGAUGUGGACCAUGGCUAAGUGCGCCCGAAUGGUAUUGCUGGGUGGUUUCAAGAACAUCAUGGUUUAUACCCUUUGAAUGUAAGUCGGUACCGUCCAGGCUCAAAAAGAUCAAACAGACUUAGUGACUAGUAGCUUCCAUGUAUAGCCACUGGCUAAUAUGGGCUCUGGCUUAGUUGAUCAGUUGUGGGGACCUUACCCGGAUGUGCCAGCAAAUGUAGUUAUGAUAGUUGGGAUGGGCCUCCUGUGGGACUAGGCGACUGCUUCUGAAAGACUGUGUCUCAAUCCUCGGGUUGAGUCCAGUGGGUAAAGUGUACAGACCUCUGUAGAGUGUAUAAACUAAUCAUGAUUAGCCGUGUCCCCGGUUAUGGACAAAUUUGAACCACUAUGCCAUUACAGUUGUUGGAUGAUCUUGACAGAUGAUACAAUUACUAAAACUUGAUGGGAAACUUAAUAAUGGGUAUAGGCUGGUAUUGGGUUGCCCAAUUCAACCAUAUGUAUUUAACUGUGGCAAGACAUAAUUGAAAUUUGACUACAAUACUAUGUAGUUAUCAGGGAAAAACUAGCUUUCUGCAAAACAGCCACUACAUUAUCCUCUUGAUAUACCUUGCAUAUAGAUGUAGGCAUGUUAUAUCAUUCCUUGUGUGACUUGCCAAUACAUUCAAAGUAUUGACCCUUCGUGGCUGCAACGUUUCAUGUUGCAGAUUUUAUACGACGAGUGAGUGAUACGAUGUAGGGUUAUGAUGUCUAUACUCGACAUUUGCCUGUGGUGUUGAUGGAUUUCAUGGAGAUUUAUUUGCUUUUCUGCUGUAUUUUUGUUAUGAAGCUAGCCUUGAGCUACACAGGUAUGUAAUGUGUAAAUUCUGGAUCUACGAUGUAAUAUUAUGACAUGUGGUUUAUUCUUGAUAUUACAUCGUGUACUGUGUGUGCUAGCUAUUGAUCCAGGGACUAGCAUAGUGAGCACAGAGACAUCGAAUCUUAUCAGGUUCGGG
RNAcentral lists this long non-coding RNA (2686 nucleotides) under Triticum aestivum (bread wheat). RNAcentral describes it as "long non-coding RNA (TAES_LNC018046)". Lineage: Eukaryota; Viridiplantae; Streptophyta; Magnoliopsida; Poales; Poaceae. The record is from RNAcentral.